AAAAAAAAACCUCGUGUUGCUCGUUAAAUGUGUGUCGAGUGUGGUAUUUUGUUUAAAAUCAACAAUAGUGAUUGCGUAAUAUUUUUUGUUUUAUUAGGAAAGAAAGCUUUGUGUUGUUCGUUACGUUAUUUGUGUCAUGUGUGGUAUUCAGCUAUUUAGUUAGAAAUGUCUGAUCGUGAGUCUGGGUCUACGGGUUGACACACUCCGUCUGAAGAACGAUAUAAAAAGCAGAAUUCUUGUAGACGUCGUGGUAAUUCACGCAGUAGUAAUUACGACCGUUUGGAUAGACAAACUCGUUCCUGUCACAAUCGUAGUAAAUCUCCCUGUGAAAGUACGAGGGAUAGGCGCCGCGAUAGUUCGUAUGGCCGUCGCGAUAGUGUACGACGUGAUGAUCCUUUUAAUCGAAUACUCAAGUGGUUAAAUGCACUAGAGAGUAGGCUGCCUACUACGGCGCCAUUGACGUCAAGUCCGAUACCGCAUCCCAGCGCCGGGGCGUGUAUCUCAACUUUCGCACCAGGAAACAACGAGGUCUCUGUUGACGAUGCGGAGUCGCACGCGACAGGUCAAGCGUCCGAGGCGCUUCGCGACGACAGCGCAGGGACAGCGAACAGGAUUGUUGACGCGUUUUUCAUUCAACUGUGACCACUAGCGACCAACUUCACGUGUAACAUAGCGUGGCCAGAGGUGCGAAGAGUGUGUGCUGCCUGCCUGAGCUACGUUGAGUACUGCUGCACGUGACAUACUCAGUUGUGCGUCGCACCGUACAGCCUGCUGAUGAGCGGUGAAUUGCUUGGCCUGUGCUGCAGUGCUGGGCCUGUGCUGCAGUGCUGGGCAGAGAAGAGUGAGCUGCGUGUGACGCUUCGCAGAGGGAUUAAUAUUGUAGCCCCGACAUUGUGGCUGUAGUUUGCCC
This 910-nucleotide unclassified non-coding RNA is filed under the name Melitaea cinxia (Glanville fritillary). Its description in RNAcentral is "misc RNA ENSMCXG00005008766.1". The record is from RNAcentral. Lineage: Eukaryota; Metazoa; Arthropoda; Insecta; Lepidoptera; Nymphalidae.